GUACCGUGAGGGAAAGGCGAAAAGAACCCCGGCGAGGGGAGUGAAAAAGAACCUGAAACCGUGUACGUACAAGCAGUGGGAGCACGCUUAGGCGUGUGACUGCGUACCUUUUGUAUAAUGGGUCAGCGACUUAUAUUCUGUAGCAAGGUUAACCGAAUAGGGGAGCCGAAGGGAAACCGAGUCUUAACUGGGCGUUAAGUUGCAGGGUAUAGACCCGAAACCCGGUGAUCUAGCCAUGGGCAGGUUGAAGGUUGGGUAACACUAACUGGAGGACCGAACCGACUAAUGUUGAAAAAUUAGCGGAUGACUUGUGGCUGGGGGUGAAAGGCCAAUCAAACCGGGAGAUAGCUGGUUCUCCCCGAAAGCUAUUUAGGUAGCGCCUCGUGAAUUCAUCUCCGGGGGUAGAGCACUGUUUCGGCAAGGGGGUCAUCCCGACUUACCAACCCGAUGCAAACUGCGAAUACCGGAGAAUGUUAUCACGGGAGACACACGGCGGGUGCUAACGUCCGUCGUGAAGAGGGAAACAACCCAGACCGCCAGCUAAGGUCCCAAAGUCAUGGUUAAGUGGGAAACGAUGUGGGAAGGCCCAGACAGCCAGGAUGUUGGCUUAGAAGCAGCCAUCAUUUAAAGAAAGCGUAAUAGCUCACUGGUCGAGUCGGCCUGCGCGGAAGAUGUAACGGGGCUAAACCAUGCACCGAAGCUGCGGCAGCGACACUAUGUGUUGUUGGGUAGGGGAGCGUUCUGUAAGCCUGUGAAGGUGUGCUGUGAGGCAUGCUGGAGGUAUCAGAAGUGCGAAUGCUGACAUAAGUAACGAUAAAGCGGGUGAAAAGCCCGCUCGCCGGAAGACCAAGGGUUCCUGUCCAACGUUAAUCGGGGCAGGGUGAGUCGACCCCUAAGGCGAGGCCGAAAGGCGUAGUCGAUGGGAAACAGGUUAAUAUUCCUGUACUUGGUGUUACUGCGAAGGGGGGACGGAGAAGGCUAUGUUGGCCGGGCGACGGUUGUCCCGGUUUAAGCGUGUAGGCUGGUUUUCCAGGCAAAUCCGGAAAAUCAAGGCUGAGGCGUGAUGACGAGGCACUACGGUGCUGAAGCAACAAAUGCCCUGCUUCCAGGAAAAGCCUCUAAGCAUCAGGUAACAUCAAAUCGUACCCCAAACCGACACAGGUGGUCAGGUAGAGAAUACCAAGGCGCUUGAGAGAACUCGGGUGAAGGAACUAGGCAAAAUGGUGCCGUAACUUCGGGAGAAGGCACGCUGAUAUGUAGGUGAGGUCCCUCGCGGAUGGAGCUGAAAUCAGUCGAAGAUACCAGCUGGCUGCAACUGUUUAUUAAAAACACAGCACUGUGCAAACACGAAAGUGGACGUAUACGGUGUGACGCCUGCCCGGUGCCGGAAGGUUAAUUGAUGGGGUUAGCGCAAGCGAAGCUCUUGAUCGAAGCCCCGGUAAACGGCGGCCGUAACUAUAACGGUCCUAAGGUAGCGAAAUUCCUUGUCGGGUAAGUUCCGACCUGCACGAAUGGCGUAAUGAUGGCCAGGCUGUCUCCACCCGAGACUCAGUGAAAUUGAACUCGCUGUGAAGAUGCAGUGUACCCGCGGCAAGACGGAAAGACCCCGUGAACCUUUACUAUAGCUUGACACUGAACAUUGAGCCUUGAUGUGUAGGAUAGGUGGGAGGCUU
Molecule: ribosomal RNA, 1673 nt
Filed under: Escherichia coli
Lineage: Bacteria; Pseudomonadati; Pseudomonadota; Gammaproteobacteria; Enterobacterales; Enterobacteriaceae
Description: partial 23S ribosomal RNA
Rfam family: Bacterial large subunit ribosomal RNA
Source: RNAcentral